Molecule: ribosomal RNA, 207 nt
Filed under: uncultured bacterium
Lineage: Bacteria
Description: partial 16S ribosomal RNA
Rfam family: Bacterial small subunit ribosomal RNA
Source: RNAcentral
CGCGUAGGCGGCUUUAUAAGUCUGGAGUGAAGGUCCUCUUUUCAAGGGAGGAAUUGCUUUGGAAACUAUAGAGCUUGAGUGCAGGAGAGGUUAUCGGAAUUCCCGGUGUAGCGGUGAAAUGCGUAGAUAUCGGGAGGAACAUCGGUGGCGAAGGCGGGUAACUGGACUGCAACUGACGCUGAGGCGCGAAAGUGUGGGGAGCAAACA